Dreissena polymorpha is the source of this 1232-nucleotide long non-coding RNA. RefSeq lists it as uncharacterized. The transcript is spliced from 2 exons. Lineage: Eukaryota; Metazoa; Mollusca; Bivalvia; Myida; Dreissenidae. The record is from RefSeq and is a predicted model, not a curated record.
AAUGUUAAAGUUCUUAUUUCAUGGUAUAACUUUGGUAUGCUUGGACCUAGAGUCUUCAAACUUGACAUGAAGGUUGGCCAGGAUUAACAGAUGACCACUGGUCAUUUCAAGGUCAUUCAUUUGAAGGUCAAGGUCACUGUGACCUUCAAUAUAAAAAAUGUUAAAGUUCUUAUAACUUUGGUAUGCUUGGACCUAGAGUCUUGAAACUUGACAUGAAGGUUGGCCAGAACUAGUAAGUAACAACUGGACAUUUCAAGGUCAUUCAUUUGAAGGUCAAGGUCACUGUGACCUUGAAUGUAAAAAUGUUAAAGUUCUUAUUUCAUGUUAUAACUUUGGUAUGCUUGUACCUAGAGUCUUCAAACUUGAAAUAAAGAUUGGCCAGUACUAGAAGAUGACCACUGGUCAUUUCAAUGUCAUUCAUUUGAAGGUCAAGGUCACUGUGACCUUAAAUGUUAAAAUGUUAAAAUUGUUAUAACUUUGGUAUGCUUGGACAUAGAGUCUUCAAACUUGACAUGAAGGUUUGCAAGCACACUUAGAUGACCACUGGUCAUUUCAAGGUCAUUCAUUCUAAGGUCAAGGUCACUGUGACCUUGAAUGUAAAAAUGUUAAAGUUCUUAUAACUUUGGUAGGUAAAAAUGUUAAAGUUCUUAUUCCAUGUUAUAACUUUGGUAUGCUUGUACCUAGAGUCUUCAAACUUGACAUAAAGGUUGGCCAGUACUAGAAGAUCACCACUGCUCAUUUCAAUGUCAUUCAUUUGAAGGUCAAGGUCACUGUGACCUUCAAUGUUAAAAUGUUAAAAUUGUUAUAACUUUGGUAUGCUUGGACCUAGAAUCUCAAACUUGACGUAAAGGUUUGCAAGCACACUUAGAUGACCACUGGUCAUUUCAAGGUCAUUCAUUUCAAUGUCAUUCAUUUGAAGGUCAAGGUCACUGUGAACUUAAAUGUUAAAAUGUUAAAAUUGUUGUAACUUUGGUAUGCUUGGACCUAGAAUCUCAAACUUGACGUAAAGGUUUGCAAGCACACUUAGAUGACCACUGGUCAUUUCAAGGUCAUUCAUUUGAAGGUCGAGGUCACUGUGACCUUGGAUGUAAAUAUGUUAAAGUUGUUAAUACUUUGGUAUGCUUAGACCUAGAGUCUUCAAACUUGAUAUGAAGGUUGGCCAGAACUAGUAGAUGACCACUGGUCAUUUUAAGGUCAAGGUCACCGUGACCUUGAAUGUAAAAAUGUUAAAA